RNAcentral lists this ribosomal RNA (248 nucleotides) under uncultured Oscillospiraceae bacterium. RNAcentral describes it as "partial 16S ribosomal RNA". It matches the Rfam family "Bacterial small subunit ribosomal RNA", at positions 524 to 771 of the family's 1533-position model. Lineage: Bacteria; Bacillati; Bacillota; Clostridia; Eubacteriales; Oscillospiraceae. The record is from RNAcentral.
UACGUAGGGAGCAAGCGUUAUCCGGAUUUAUUGGGUGUAAAGGGUGCGUAGACGGGUAUACAAGUUAGUAGUGAAAUCCCUCGGCUUAACUGAGGAACUGCUACUAAAACUAUAUAUCUUGAGUACUGGAGGGGAAAGCGGAAUUCCUAGUGUAGCGGUGAAAUGCGUAGAUAUUAGGAAGAACACCGGUGGCGAAGGCGGCUUUCUGGACAGAAACUGACGUUGAGGCACGAAAGUGUGGGGAGCAA